GGUGAGAUCAGGUUGGACCACCUUCACGGGACUUAAAAUCCGUUGUCCGUAAGGACGUGCGGGUUCGACUCCCGCCCUCGGCACCA
This 86-nucleotide transfer RNA is filed under the name Acidobacteriota bacterium. RNAcentral's name for it is "Acidobacteria bacterium tRNA-Leu". Lineage: Bacteria; Pseudomonadati; Acidobacteriota. The record is from RNAcentral.